UACAGAGGUCUCAAGCGUUGUUCGGAUUCAUUGGGCGUAAAGGGUGCGUAGGCGGCGCGGUAAGUCGGGUGUGAAAUCUCGGAGCUUAACUCCGAAACUGCAUUCGAUACUGCCGUGCUUGAGGACUGGAGAGGAGACUGGAAUUUACGGUGUAGCGGUGAAAUGCGUAGAUAUCGUAAGGAAGACCAGUGGCGAAGGCGGGUCUCUGGACAGUUCCUGACGCUGAGGCGCGAAGGCUAGGGGAGCAAACGGG
Molecule: ribosomal RNA, 253 nt
Filed under: uncultured bacterium
Lineage: Bacteria
Description: partial 16S ribosomal RNA
Rfam family: Bacterial small subunit ribosomal RNA
Source: RNAcentral